RNAcentral lists this transfer RNA (75 nucleotides) under Corynebacterium pseudotuberculosis. RNAcentral describes it as "tRNA-Gln". Lineage: Bacteria; Bacillati; Actinomycetota; Actinomycetes; Mycobacteriales; Corynebacteriaceae. The record is from RNAcentral.
AAGCAAUAUUUACCCCGUCUUCACUCAUAGUGGAGUCGGGGUUUUGCGUAUAGAAGGCCAUGGUGGUGGUUUUCG